RNAcentral lists this ribosomal RNA (279 nucleotides) under uncultured bacterium. RNAcentral's name for it is "partial 16S ribosomal RNA". It matches the Rfam family "Bacterial small subunit ribosomal RNA", at positions 506 to 784 of the family's 1533-position model. The record is from RNAcentral.
UGCCAGCCGCCGCGGUAAUACGGAGGGCGCAAGCGUUGUUCGGAAUCACUGGGCAUAAAGAGCAUGUAGGCGGUCUAUUAAGUCGGAUGUGAAAGCCCUCGGCCCAACCGGGGAACUGCAUUCGAUACUGAUAGACUUGAGGACAGGAGGGGUGAGUGGAACUUCAGGUGGAACGGUGAAAUGUGUAGAUAUCUGAAGGAACACCGGUGGCGAAAGCGGCUCACUGGCCUGUCUCUGACGCUGAGAUGCGAAAGCGUGGGGAGCAAACAGGAUUAGAUA